GUGAGGAAUAUUGGACAAUGGGGGCAACCCUGAUCCAGCCAUGCCGCGUGAGUGAAGAAGGCCUUCGGGUUGUAAAGCUCUUUCGGCCGGAACGAAAUCGUGCGAGUGAACAACCCGCGUGGAUGACGGUACCGGAAGAAGAAGCACCGGCUAACUACGUGCCAGCAGCCGCGGUAAUACGUAGGGUGCAAGCGUUAAUCGGAAUGACUGGGCGUAACGCGUGCGCAGGCGGUCGCGUAAGCCAGAUGUGAAAUCCCCGGGCUUAACCUGGGAACUGCAUUUGGGACUGCGUGGCUGGAGUGCGGCAGAGGAAGGUGGAAUUCCUGGUGUAGCAGUGAAAUGCGUAGAGAUCAGGAGGAACACCGAUGGCGAAGGCAGCCUUCUGGGCCAGCACUGACGCUCAUGCACGAAAGCGUGGGGAGCAA
RNAcentral lists this ribosomal RNA (425 nucleotides) under uncultured bacterium. RNAcentral describes it as "bacterial SSU rRNA". It matches the Rfam family "Bacterial small subunit ribosomal RNA", at positions 354 to 771 of the family's 1533-position model. The record is from RNAcentral.